Molecule: small nuclear RNA, 118 nt
Filed under: Capra hircus (goat)
Lineage: Eukaryota; Metazoa; Chordata; Mammalia; Artiodactyla; Bovidae
Description: U4 spliceosomal RNA (ENSCHIG00010000667.1, ENSCHIG00020031524.1)
Rfam family: U4 spliceosomal RNA (bases 1-83)
About the family: U4 small nuclear RNA (U4 snRNA) is a component of the major U2-dependent spliceosome. The structure of U4 snRNA from yeast and human has been reported.
Source: RNAcentral
AGCUUUUUGCAGUGGCAGUAUUGUAACCAAUGAGGUUUAUCCGAGGCACAAUUAUCACUAAUUGAAGAAAAUAAAUAAAUAAAAAGAAGGGAAGCCAAUUUUGAGAUAGAGGCAGUCU